AACGAAUCCCACCUGGGUAACUGGGUGGGGGAAGUGGCGAAAGGGGCAGUAAGGCGUGGGUAACUUGCCUCGGGGAUGGGGAUAGCCCUCCUAACGGAGGGGUAAUACCCAGCGAUCUGGCGGAGGGGCAUCCUUCUGCCAGGAAACGAAUCUCGCCUCGAGAGGGGCCCACGUGGUAUUAUGCUAGUUGGUGAGGUAACGGCUCACCAAGGCCAAGAUGCCUAGCAGGUGUGAGAGCACGACCUGCGCCACUGGCACUGGGACACUGGCCAGACUCCUACGGGAGGCUGCAGUCGAGGAUCUUCGGCAAUGGGCGCAAGCCUGACCGAGCGACGCCGCGUGUGCGAUGAAGGCCUUCGGGUUGUAAAGCACUGUCGAGGGGGAGAAAAGCCCGCAAGGGUCUGAUCUAUCCCUGGAGGAAGCACGGGCUAAGUUCGUGCCAGCAGCCGCGGUAAGACGAACCGUGCGAACGUUGUUCGGAAUCACUGGGCUUAAAGGGCGCGUAGGCGGGCGGUCAAGUCUGUGGUGAAAUCCUUCGGCUCAACCGGAGAAUAGCUGGAGAUACUGGCCGUCUCGAGGGGGGUAGGGGCAUGUGGAACUUCCGGUGGAGCGGUGAAAUGCGUAGAUAUCGGAAGGAACGCCGGUGGCGAAAGCGACGUGCUGGACCCUUUCUGACGCUGAGGCGCGAAAGCCAGGGGAGCAAACGGGAUUAGAUACCCCGGUAGUCCUGGC
This 732-nucleotide ribosomal RNA is filed under the name uncultured Planctomycetota bacterium. RNAcentral's name for it is "bacterial SSU rRNA". It matches the Rfam family "Bacterial small subunit ribosomal RNA", at positions 65 to 800 of the family's 1533-position model. The record is from RNAcentral. Lineage: Bacteria; Pseudomonadati; Planctomycetota.